This 428-nucleotide ribosomal RNA is filed under the name Bacteroidota bacterium. Its description in RNAcentral is "Bacteroidetes bacterium partial 16S ribosomal RNA". It matches the Rfam family "Bacterial small subunit ribosomal RNA", at positions 355 to 776 of the family's 1533-position model. Lineage: Bacteria; Pseudomonadati; Bacteroidota. The record is from RNAcentral.
UAGGGAAUCUUCCGCAAUGGGCGAAAGCCUGACGGAGCAACGCCGCGUGAGUGAUGAAGGUCUUCGGAUCGUAAAACUCUGUUAUUAGGGAAGAACAAAUGUGUAAGUAACUAUGCACAUCUUGAGGUACCUAAUCAGAAAGCCACGGCUAACUACGUGCCAGCAGCCGCGGUAAUACGUAGGUGGCAAGCGUUAUCCGGAAUUAUUGGGCGUAAAGCGCGCGUAGGCGGUUUUUUAAGUCUGAUGUGAAAGCCCACGGCUCAACCGUGGAGGGUCAUUGGAAACUGGAAAACUUGAGUGCAGAAGAGGAAAGUGGAAUUCCAUGUGUAGCGGUGAAAUGCGCAGAGAUAUGGAGGAACACCAGUGGCGAAGGCGACUUUCUGGUCUGUAACUGACGCUGAUGUGCGAAAGCGUGGGGAUCAAACAGG